AACGAACGCUGGCGGCGUGCCUAACACAUGCAAGUCGAACGAGAAAGUUUCCUUCGGGGAAUGAGUAAAGUGGCGCAAGGGUGAGUAACACGUGAAUAAUCUGCCUUCGAAACUGGGAUAACUUGACGAAAGUUAAGCUAAUACCGGAUAAGACCACGCUUCACAAGAGGUGCGGUAAAAGGGGUCUCAAACCCCGUUUGAAGAUGAGUUCGCGUACCAUUAGCUUGUUGGUGAGAUAAAAGCUCACCAAGGCGACGAUGGUUAGCCGGCCUGAGAGGGUGAUCGGCCACACUGGAACUGAGACACGGUCCAGACUCCUACGGGAGGCAGCAGUGGGGAAUUUUGCGCAAUGGGCGAAAGCCUGACGCAGCAACGCCGCGUGAGCGAUGAAGGCCUUCGGGUCGUAAAGCUCUGUCAAGUGGGAAGAACACAAUGACGGUACCACUAGAGGAAGCCCCGGCUAACUUCGUG
This 471-nucleotide ribosomal RNA is filed under the name uncultured bacterium. RNAcentral's name for it is "bacterial SSU rRNA". It matches the Rfam family "Bacterial small subunit ribosomal RNA", at positions 29 to 507 of the family's 1533-position model. The record is from RNAcentral.